UUUCCUACGGGAGGCAGCAGUGAGGAAUAUUGGUCAAUGGGAGAGAUCCUGAACCAGCCAAGCCGCGUGAGGGAAGACGGCCCUAUGGGUUGUAAACCUCUUUUGUCGGAGAACAAAACCCGGGACGUGUCCCGGACUGCGUGUAUCCGAAGAAAAAGCAUCGGCUAACUCCGUGCCAGCAGCCGCGGUAAUACAGAGGUCUCAAGCGUUGUUCGGAAUCACUGGGCGUAAAGCGUGCGUAGGCUGUUUCGUAAGUCGUGUGUGAAAGGCGCGGGCUCAACCCGCGGACGGCACAUGAUACUGCG
RNAcentral lists this ribosomal RNA (305 nucleotides) under uncultured bacterium. RNAcentral describes it as "bacterial SSU rRNA". It matches the Rfam family "Bacterial small subunit ribosomal RNA", at positions 335 to 637 of the family's 1533-position model. The record is from RNAcentral.